GGGGUGCAGGGGCCGCGGCCGGGAAGGGGCAUCAGAUCGUCCUGACCAAGCUCACCCGGACGGAGCUGCUGGAGUACAAAGUCCGACAACUGCUGCUCGCCUUGCAGCGCAGGGACGUCAUCUACAUCUUCAGCUUUUUAGAGGAUUAUCGUACAUUCGCCACCACGGACGAGGUGCUGGACCUGCUGUUCACCGAGUAUGGGUGCAUCGCAGAUGCGUGGGGUAACAACGAUGUGGUCCUGCAGUGCUGGAAACUGUGAGUGACUCCGGCUCCUGCAGGAGGGCCUUCCCUCUCCUGGAGGGCAGCGAAGGGGCUGUGGGGCGGUGGGGGC
RNAcentral lists this long non-coding RNA (332 nucleotides) under Canis lupus familiaris (dog). RNAcentral describes it as "lncRNA (ENSCAFG00030009663.1)". The record is from RNAcentral. Lineage: Eukaryota; Metazoa; Chordata; Mammalia; Carnivora; Canidae.